Long non-coding RNA from Achroia grisella, 886 nucleotides. RefSeq lists it as uncharacterized. The record is from RefSeq and is a predicted model, not a curated record. The transcript has 3 exons. NCBI's taxonomy places the organism in Eukaryota, Metazoa, Arthropoda, Insecta, Lepidoptera, Pyralidae.
ACACCGCCCGGGCGGGCGCCACACGACCGGGAUCUGCGCACGCGAGCGGCGACGCGAACAUAAAUAAUUUCAGUGAAAUAAACACGCAUCCGCCAACUCUAGCAUGCGAGCGCACGAUUCUGUGAAACAAAUACGAGUAAAGUGAACGAGUCUCGAGUGCAGAGCACGAACAAACGACGGACGGCGCACGACGAGAGAGCGAUUAGGGUUGUGAAAGCCUCUUCGACGAAACGAAACGAGAUCGGCGCCGAAGAAGUGCACUUCUAGGCCUCUCGAAAUACUGUAAAAAUCGCUCGGUGGCCGUCGGACACUAAAAUAAUUCUGCACUGCUCUUGUAAUUAGUCGUAUAAUAACGAAUUAUAACACGAAAUACCCUCUAUCAGUGGCCACGACAGAAGGGUUCCUUAUAUUGUACAUACAUUUAUAUAUGCAUAUAUAAAUUGGUCAAGAGUGAUCUCUAACGUGACGUCACAAUAGCAUAUAGUUAUCUACUACUGUUAAUAAUAAAGCUUUGUUUACUACGCAUUUUAAAAUUUAUCACCCAUUUUUGAUAGUUUUCUAUAUUUGUACGUAUUCAAAUUUGUAAAUAUUUGAACUAAAAAAUAAUAAAAUAUAACAAAAAAAAUAUAAGCGUGACAUUGUGUAAAAGUAACUUUAAUACUAGUCAUUCAUCUAGUGUAUUUAUUUGUUAAUUCAAUCUUGUAGUUUUUAGUGAUUACUUAGAACUAAAUAACUAAGCAGUUUGACAUUCUUCAAAAAAUAUAUAAUAUAUUAAAAAAAUAACAUAUGCCAGAGUGCAUUAUUGACCAAAGAAGGAAUAUCGAUUCAUAAAUACUGGCCGAAAAUAAAUAUUGAUAGAUUCAAAAUUUUGAACGUAUAAACUUAU